Molecule: non-coding RNA, 642 nt
Organism: Pelobates cultripes (western spadefoot toad)
Lineage: Eukaryota; Metazoa; Chordata; Amphibia; Anura; Pelobatidae
Source: the annotation of a GenBank genome assembly
GUUUUGAUUUGCAAAUGUAUAAUACAAUUCAAUCUGUACAUGCCUAGGGUUGGGAUGGAAGGAGUUAUGUAAACUGACAUUUCAGAAAAUUGACACCACUUACAUCAACAUUGGGUGUCAUUGGAAAAAUGAGACCUGUAACCAGUAUAUCUUACCAAAGUAGUGUAUUGCUGCAGCAAUUAAAUAGAAUUGUUGUGGCUCUAAGUCUGCACCCCCCUACAGUUAUCAGACUUUAAAAAUAGGUUGUUUUUUUCACUUCCUCCUUGACUAUCCAAGACCUGUCCAAUAUCACAAGCAUCUCUUUACCCUGGAGAGAUAGAACUGAAAUCACAGUAAUUGAUUCAGCAAACCAAAGCAAACAGCCCACUUCACAAAACGUAACAAGGCUUUAAACAGCUGCACUAUUAGCUUAUUGAGCAGUUGCACUCAUAUGCAACUACAUAUCCCAUAAACCACUGCAAGUACUACUGAAAGUUUAUUCCAGUCAACUAUUCUUACUGUCAACCUUUAGUAGCUUUGAAUAACAUUAAAACACUUUACACAACAUACCCACAACAACUUACUAUAGGUUAUGGUUGAGCAAGUCUUUGGGUGCUGUCACAGCUUUCAGUCAUAUCAUUUUUAUAGGUUUGACAAAUACUG